Molecule: ribosomal RNA, 253 nt
Filed under: uncultured bacterium
Lineage: Bacteria
Description: partial 16S ribosomal RNA
Rfam family: Bacterial small subunit ribosomal RNA
Source: RNAcentral
GACAGAGGGUGCAAACGUUGUUCGGAAUUACUGGGCGUAAAGGGUGCGUAGGCGGCGCGGUAAGUCGAGUGUGAAAUUUCGAGGCUUAACUUCGAAACUGCAUUCGAUACUGCCGUGCUUGAGGACUGGAGAGGAGACUGGAAUUUACGGUGUAGCGGUGAAAUGCGUAGAUAUCGUAAGGAAGACCAGUGGCGAAGGCGGGUCUCUGGACAGUUCCUGACGCUGAGGCACGAAGGCCAGGGGAGCAAACGGG